CAGUAGCCGCGGGAAUACGUAGGGUGCGAGCGUUAAUCGGAAUUACUGGGCGUAAAGCGUGCGCAGGCGGUUGUGUAAGACAGGUGUGAAAUCCCCGGGCUUAACCUGGGAACUGCGCUUGUGACUGCACAGCUAGAGUACGGCAGAGGGGGGUGGAAUCCCACGUGUAGCAGUGAAAUGCGUAGAGAUGUGGAGGAACACCGAUGGCGAAGGCAGCCCCCUGGGCCAAUACUGACGCUCAUGCACGAAAGCGUGGGGAGCAAACAGGAUUAGAUACCCCUGUAGUCCCUGUCUCUUAUAC
This 301-nucleotide ribosomal RNA is filed under the name uncultured bacterium. Its description in RNAcentral is "partial 16S ribosomal RNA". It matches the Rfam family "Bacterial small subunit ribosomal RNA", at positions 509 to 807 of the family's 1533-position model. The record is from RNAcentral.